Empidonax traillii (willow flycatcher) is the source of this 323-nucleotide long non-coding RNA. RefSeq lists it as uncharacterized. The transcript is spliced from 3 exons. Lineage: Eukaryota; Metazoa; Chordata; Aves; Passeriformes; Tyrannidae. The record is from RefSeq and is a predicted model, not a curated record.
UGACAGGCAUUCACAAACAGCACACAGUGACUUGUUCUAGAAAACAUUUGUGUUCUCAAGGGCUCAGAGGUGUGUCCAGGGCUCCAAAUCCAUCCUGCAGCGGGAGAUGCAGGGCUGAGGAGAUGGGACACACCCCGGUUUGCGCAGUGAAAAGGAGCCCUCUGUGCCCAUGCCCUGCACUCUGGGGACAGCAGAGCCCAGGUGACUCCUCACACUUGUGGGUGUUCUGAAGACCUUUCCAGAAAUGCCUCCUUUACUCCCAGGGCUGGGAUUUCUCCUUCUGCUCGGGUGGCAAGGAACUGCUGGAGCUGCUGCUGGGACAU